Molecule: ribosomal RNA, 86 nt
Filed under: uncultured bacterium
Lineage: Bacteria
Description: partial 16S ribosomal RNA
Source: RNAcentral
AAGAUGGUUUCGGCUAUCACUUCGGGAUGGGCCUGCGGCGCAUUAGCUUGUUGGUGGGGUAACGGCNCUACCAAGGCGANUGAUGC